ACCUGGCUGGCUCAGUUGGUGGAGCAUGUGACUCUUGAUCUCAGUAUUGUGAGCUCAAGCCCCAUGUAGGGUG
Molecule: transfer RNA, 73 nt
Filed under: Felis catus (domestic cat)
Lineage: Eukaryota; Metazoa; Chordata; Mammalia; Carnivora; Felidae
Also listed under: 1 other name
Rfam family: tRNA
About the family: Transfer RNA (tRNA) molecules are approximately 80 nucleotides in length. Their secondary structure includes four short double-helical elements and three loops (D, anti-codon, and T loops). Further hydrogen bonds mediate the characteristic L-shaped molecular structure. tRNAs have two regions of fundamental functional importance: the anti-codon, which is responsible for specific mRNA codon recognition, and the 3' end, to which the tRNAs corresponding amino acid is attached (by aminoacyl-tRNA synthetases). tRNAs cope with the degeneracy of the genetic code in two manners: having more than one tRNA (with a specific anti-codon) for a particular amino acid; and 'wobble' base-pairing, i.e. permitting non-standard base-pairing at the 3rd anti-codon position.
Source: Rfam by way of RNAcentral